Molecule: ribosomal RNA, 1127 nt
Filed under: Fusarium solani
Lineage: Eukaryota; Fungi; Ascomycota; Sordariomycetes; Hypocreales; Nectriaceae
Description: partial 18S ribosomal RNA
Rfam family: Eukaryotic small subunit ribosomal RNA (bases 1-778)
Source: RNAcentral
CGGGAUCAUUUUGUUGGUUUCUAGGACCGCCGUAAUGAUUAAUAGGGACAGUCGGGGGCAUCAGUAUUCAAUUGUCAGAGGUGAAAUUCUUGGAUUUAUUGAAGACUAACUACUGCGAAAGCAUUUGCCAAGGAUGUUUUCAUUAAUCAGGAACGAAAGUUAGGGGAUCGAAGACGAUCAGAUACCGUCGUAGUCUUAACCAUAAACUAUGCCGACUAGGGAUCGGACGGUGUUAUAUUUUGACCCGUUCGGCACCUUACGAGAAAUCAAAGUGCUUGGGCUCCAGGGGGAGUAUGGUCGCAAGGCUGAAACUUAAAGAAAUUGACGGAAGGGCACCACCAGGGGUGGAGCCUGCGGCUUAAUUUGACUCAACACGGGGAAACUCACCAGGUCCAGACACAAUGAGGAUUGACAGAUUGAGAGCUCUUUCUUGAUUUUGUGGGUGGUGGUGCAUGGCCGUUCUUAGUUGGUGGAGUGAUUUGUCUGCUUAAUUGCGAUAACGAACGAGACCUUAACCUGCUAAAUAGCCCGUAUUGCUUUGGCAGUACGCUGGCUUCUUAGAGGGACUAUCGGCUCAAGCCGAUGGAAGUUUGAGGCAAUAACAGGUCUGUGAUGCCCUUAGAUGUUCUGGGCCGCACGCGCGCUACACUGACGGAGCCAGCGAGUACUUCCUUGGCCGAAAGGCCCGGGUAAUCUUGUUAAACUCCGUCGGCCGCGGGGACCCCAAAAAAACAAAAAAAAAAACGUUGACCCCCCCCGGAUAAAAAUAAAAUUAAACGCAAGAAAAAAUGGGGGGGUCCUUUCGGCUCAUGUAAGCCAAUCUUACGGGGUGACGUUGACCGCCUGGGGAGUACGGACCUAUAAUUAAUACUAAAGGAAUUGACAGGAGACGCCACAGGGGGAGGAUGAUGGGGAUUAACUAGAAGCACGGCUAAAAACUUGCUACCGUUGACAUGGUCUGACUUCUAAAAUUUGGAUUGCAUCGAAAGAGACCUGAACACGGGACUGCAUGAUGUCUCAACUGGACUGGAAUUGUUGGUCGGUCCGAAAUGAGCUACAUUACUAGGUGCGAUCGAGGAACUCUAUGCCAUUGCGUUACUCGGGAGUUACGUGAUCGAUCAAGCAUU